GUUAAGAAUAUCCACUCUCCAGAUUUCGUGCGGCGUUUGCCACGAGAAAUUGGUAAAUGUUUACCUAAUUGGAAGGGUAAGAUGACAAUUAAUUUGCCAUUCCGAUGCUGCCAAAAAUGUUGAUUUCUGCAAACUACAUAUUAACAUCCUAGUAUGUAAGUGAUAAUCAAACCAAAUAAAAUAUACUCUUAAUCAAUUUAGCAUCUUUUUCUAAAUGCGAGUAUGUCGUAAUGAUCAAAUAUGCGUGUUUUCUUCUAUCUAUAGCAUCAGAAUACCGAUCUUGGCUGCUGUACUACUGCAUUCCAUGUUUGCAAGGCAUAUUGCCAGACAAAUAUUUGCGAAAUUUUGCCCUUUUGGCUAAAGGCAUGCAUCUGCUUCUUGCUGCUAAGAUCAGCGAAGAAAUGGUUAGGAGAGCGGAAGUUGUCUUGAACGACUUCUACUAUGAAGCUCAAGACAUUUAUAGAGAGAACUUCUGCGGUCUCAACGUCCACAAUCUUUGUCACCUCUCCGACCAAGUGAGAAACUGGGGACCGUUGUGGACCCAUUCAUGCUUUAAUUUUGAGGAUUUGAAUGGAUGGAUAAAGACGUUCUGCCACGAACAGGAGACGUGUGUUAUCAGAUUGUGAAAGCAAUGUCGACGUGGCAGGCGAACGUAAGAGAUUGUGUAGCAGAUUCGCGUGACGAUCCUGCGUCAAACACAUUCAUUCAAGACAUGACGACGUCCCUCCCCUAUUCGAAAUUGCAUACGCGACUUUUGCAGUCUAGAACCAAAUAUUGCAACAUUUUCCCACCAUGUAAGCCCGCAAUUUUGAGCAGCAACCUGUACGAUGCAGAAAAGAGUUAGAUUCCAAUUGUGGAGAGCUAGAGGAAGUGUCUCGCAUCUUACUUAGAUAACGGUGAAGUCUUUUACGCUGUCACCUACGAGAGGCACAUCAAGAGAGAACCCUUUGUCGUCCUACUUCGCAGUUCGUCUGUUGCUAUCAUAAAGAAAUUCCUUUAUUCUAGACAGACCAACAGAGUGUACGUAGUCGUGGAUGACCUUCAAAAGAUGGUGUCGCUAUUUCGUGACCGACUGCCGAUGCUAACGAAGAUCAAGAAAAACAGCCCGGCAAACGAGAGAUCUUACAUUGUCAGUGCAGAAGAUGUGAUAGAGAAAGUCAUUUACAUGAACACCAUCCCUACCGAAACAUGCCUACGUUACUCAACAGCCAAACCAUUUUGAGAAAUUAUGACUGCCUGUUGUGUACGUGCAGGCGGACAAAUUAGCAAAGACAGUCGCUGAGGCUUCCUUUUUGGUCUAUAAGAUUGCGGAAAUUUUCAGAGAGAAGAGACAAGUAUAGAUCGUGACUCUUGAUCAGCAAAUGCACAAUUUCAUUGAUAUUUUGCAGUAUAGUCUGAACAGUUUUGACUUGUCAUUGUUGCAAUUCUCGACAAAAACUGUCUAAACGUGCGUGUGUAUAUGUAUGAAAAUAAGUCUGCUGAUGAAGCAUAACUGUAUUUGAAUACAUGUUAAUGGCAA
This is a long non-coding RNA of Corticium candelabrum, 1519 nucleotides long. RefSeq lists it as uncharacterized. The transcript has 5 exons. The record is from RefSeq and is a predicted model, not a curated record. NCBI's taxonomy places the organism in Eukaryota, Metazoa, Porifera, Homoscleromorpha, Homosclerophorida, Plakinidae.